RNAcentral lists this long non-coding RNA (206 nucleotides) under Fukomys damarensis (Damara mole-rat). Its description in RNAcentral is "lncRNA (ENSFDAG00000028443.1)". The record is from RNAcentral. Lineage: Eukaryota; Metazoa; Chordata; Mammalia; Rodentia; Bathyergidae.
CCCCUCUCGAGCUUCAUCCCCCACGGUGUCCAGAGACCAGCACCUGGCGGUGGCAGGUCCGUUCCCUCUGGUCAGGUGGGAUUCGCCUCAAAUUGCCAGGGGUCAAAUUGACGGGAUUCCUUUGGGAACCGGUGCUGGAGAAUCCGGGACGGAUCCAAUCCAAUUUUGUGACUCAGGUCCUGCGAUGUCAGUGCCGAAGAACGCGC